GUGGGGAAUAUUGGACAAUGGGCGAAAGCCUGAUCCAGCAAUGCCGCGUGAGUGAAGAAGGUCUUCGGAUUGUAAAGCUCUUUCGACGGGGACGAUGAUGACGGUACCCGUAGAAGAAGCCCCGGCUAACUUCGUGCCAGCAGCCGCGGUAAUACGAAGGGGGCUAGCGUUGCUCGGAAUGACUGGGCGUAAAGGGCGCGUAGGCGGUUUGGACCGUCAGAUGUGAAAUUCCCGGGCUCAACCUGGGGGCUGCAUUUGAUACGUCCAGACUAGAGUGAGGAAGAGGGUUGUGGAAUUCCCAGUGUAGAGGUGAAAUUCGUAGAUAUUGGGAAGAACACCGGUGGCGAAGGCGGCAACCUGGUCCUUGACUGACGCUGAGGCGCGAAAGCGUGGGGAGCAAACAGGAUUAGAUACCCCAGUAGUCC
Molecule: ribosomal RNA, 425 nt
Filed under: uncultured bacterium
Lineage: Bacteria
Description: bacterial SSU rRNA
Rfam family: Bacterial small subunit ribosomal RNA
Source: RNAcentral